AUUUUUUUUUAUAUAACAAAGGAUAGAAUAGUCCUUUAAAAUUGAUAUAAGGGGUAAAAUUGGAAGGAAUCAAAAGUUAAUGGCAUAACCGUAGAUAUGUUGAAGUGUUAGGGGUAAAAUGAGAAUUUAAUAAUAUUAAAAAAAGGGUGAAUAGUAUCUUGAUGUGAUUUAAUUGGAGGGUUUGAGCUGGCUUUUGGAAUGAAACCGAGAGAAAGAGGGAGGGGGUUCUCAGGCGUGAAACAGAGGAAAGAAAGAAAGAAAAAGAGAAGAAGAAGAAGAAGAAAGAAGAAGAGGAAGGGGAUUCAAAGAGGAAAGGGAUCCCGGUUGCACUUCCAGCUGAAGGGAAAAGUGUAGAUCUCCUUCCCCUCUACGCAAGGACCUCGAUUUCCAAAAAGAAAAAGGUAAAUAUCCAUUCCUAUCUAGUCUUUUGAUGACAUUAGGCUAUACAAAGGGUGGAUAUAGUCUAGAGGGGUCGGAUAAGGGUUGUAGAGGUGGUUAAAAGAAGAAGAAUCGGAUUUUGACAAAUUUUUCCGGCACUACGGAAAAACUGUGUCGAAGUCCCAACUUCGACGAAUUAUUUAGGGGGUCAAACGGCCUCCGAUGAUGAUGCAUGUUAUCUCUUUGGAAUCCUCUAUGAGUGUAGAAUG
This 647-nucleotide long non-coding RNA is filed under the name Phoenix dactylifera (date palm). RNAcentral describes it as "long non-coding RNA (PDAC_LNC019817)". Lineage: Eukaryota; Viridiplantae; Streptophyta; Magnoliopsida; Arecales; Arecaceae. The record is from RNAcentral.